CUCAUCUUUCUCCCGAAGCUCUCUUUAUAUAGUUAGAGGCUUUCAUAGUGGUUUUACUUUGCAAUUUAUUCCCUUUUUGCGAAACAAGAACCUCUGAUUAUUCGUUUGACGAUACAUACGAAUAUUAUCGUCGUGCUCAACUUCAACAAUUCCUUGUUUUUGGUUCAUUUAGCUUCCUUGAAUCACGUGAGGCGGUGAUCCCAAAGCAAACACGUGCGACCUCAUGUGCCCAUAAUGACAAGCUAAUGUUAUUUUAUUUGUUGUUAGCUCGUUAGGCUGCAGCCAUGUCCCAGUGAAGUACACAAGUACAUGAUGAUUUAGCCACGCAAGAUUUUGGUUUCUUCCUUAACGUCAAUUCAACGGUUUGGAUGAUUCGCUAGCAGGAAGAUGAUAUAGAGUGGGUUUAUGUGUUUGUAUUGUGUAUACAAUCAUGGGCCGUGGAGCCUAGUCUCCAUAGAAUGCGACAACGACCACUUGGGGAAAAUGCAUGGCGUAGAAAAUGUGUCGGACAUUAGACGGAAAACACUUACAGUCAUCGUAUAGAGCCAUCCCAUUAGGAACGUUGCGGUGCGUUCGAAAUCUGCGGUCUGGCAAUGAUUGACGCACCAUGACAAAUUCAAAAGGCCACAAUCCUGAGCUAAGGCUUGAAUUGGGCCGUGAAGUCUAUAUCUUAAACCCAUUAUUGAAGUUAGAUACACUAGGGAUAAAGUAGCAUGAAGCAAGGUAAUAUGAAGCAAGUACAACUUUUACUCAAAUGGACUUUAUUCGUUCCUUCCAACCACUCAAAAUUAUGCUGAAUAUUUAGACAGAAAUUGAUGGUGUCAGUAACUUAUGGAUGAGAUGAUAACAAGUGGAAGGGGGUCCUACAAAGAAUCGGGUGAACGGUCGGUCACUAGCCUCGCCACUAUUUCGCCGGACCCAUCCAUCGCCGAUAUUGAGCCACGGAGGUUGGGAGAGUGGGGACACGCGCUGUGACUUGUAGUGAACUUGCCGUUAAGACAACGCUAUAUAGCUUUUUAGAUAUUUCGAUGCAUGUGUUACGCAGAGACACGCGUAAGGUUGAGAUGAAUGGACAAAAUGUGUUCAGAUAAAUGGUCCCCUUAAAGGUAAUAAGAGCGAAGCAUGGAACAGAGAGUCUUCCUCCUCAAUGUCCUCAUGUACAUAUCUAAUUUUAUCUACAUGGCCUCUCAAAUACAUAGCCUCUAGGCUCUAAGAGGAGUUACGAAUAUUCCUACUUUCUCAAAAUUAUUCAAUGUAUUUCUCUACAACUUAUCCAUGGAUAUGUUAUAUGUAUAAUAUACAUGUGAUAAAAAAGAGUAUAAUAUACUUAACCCAAAGAACAAAAUACAAACUCACAAGUACUGUGUUAGAGGUAUUAUAUCAAGGCACUUCAAAUGUAUUCUUUCAGUAACUUUU
Long non-coding RNA from Raphanus sativus (radish), 1416 nucleotides. RefSeq lists it as uncharacterized. NCBI's taxonomy places the organism in Eukaryota, Viridiplantae, Streptophyta, Magnoliopsida, Brassicales, Brassicaceae. The transcript is spliced from 4 exons. The record is from RefSeq and is a predicted model, not a curated record.